RNAcentral lists this ribosomal RNA (991 nucleotides) under Lodderomyces parapsilosis. RNAcentral's name for it is "SSU rRNA". It matches the Rfam family "Eukaryotic small subunit ribosomal RNA", at positions 74 to 1086 of the family's 1831-position model. The record is from RNAcentral. Lineage: Eukaryota; Fungi; Ascomycota; Pichiomycetes; Serinales; Debaryomycetaceae.
UUAUACAGUGAAACUGCGAAUGGCUCAUUAAAUCAGUUAUCGUUUAUUUGAUAGUACCUUACUACUUGGAUAACCGUGGUAAUUCUAGAGCUAAUACAUGCUUAAAAUCCCGACUGUUUGGAAGGGAUGUAUUUAUUAGAUAAAAAAUCAAUGCCUUCGGGCUCUUUGAUGAUUCAUAAUAACUUUUCGAAUCGCAUGGCCUUGUGCUGGCGAUGGUUCAUUCAAAUUUCUGCCCUAUCAACUUUCGAUGGUAGGAUAGUGGCCUACCAUGGUUUCAACGGGUAACGGGGAAUAAGGGUUCGAUUCCGGAGAGGGAGCCUGAGAAACGGCUACCACAUCCAAGGAAGGCAGCAGGCGCGCAAAUUACCCAAUCCCGACACGGGGAGGUAGUGACAAUAAAUAACGAUACAGGGCCCUUUCGGGUCUUGUAAUUGGAAUGAGUACAAUGUAAAUACCUUAACGAGGAACAAUUGGAGGGCAAGUCUGGUGCCAGCAGCCGCGGUAAUUCCAGCUCCAAAAGCGUAUAUUAAAGUUGUUGCAGUUAAAAAGCUCGUAGUUGAACCUUGGGCUUGGCUGGCCGGUCCAUCUUUUUGAUGCGUACUGGACCCAGCCGAGCCUUUCCUUCUGGCUAGCCUUUUAUGGCGAACCAGGACUUUUACUUUGAAAAAAUUAGAGUGUUCAAAGCAGGCCUUUGCUCGAAUAUAUUAGCAUGGAAUAAUAGAAUAGGACGUUAUGGUUCUAUUUUGUUGGUUUCUAGGACCAUCGUAAUGAUUAAUAGGGACGGUCGGGGGUAUCAGUAUUCAGUAGUCAGAGGUGAAAUUCUUGGAUUUACUGAAGACUAACUACUGCGAAAGCAUUUACCAAGGACGUUUUCAUUAAUCAAGAACGAAAGUUAGGGGAUCGAAGAUGAUCAGAUACCGUCGUAGUCUUAACCAUAAACUAUGCCGACUAGGGAUCGGUUGUUGUUCUUUUUUAUUGACGCAAUCGGCAC